RNAcentral lists this unclassified non-coding RNA (232 nucleotides) under uncultured fungus. RNAcentral describes it as "sequence contains ITS1, 5.8S rRNA gene". The stretch from base 184 to 232 matches the Rfam family "5.8S ribosomal RNA", at positions 1 to 49 of the family's 154-position model. The record is from RNAcentral. Lineage: Eukaryota; Fungi.
UCUCCGUAGGUGAACCUGCGGAGGGAUCAUUACUGAGUGAGGGCCUUCGGGCUCGACCUCCAACCCUUUGUGAACACAACUUGUUGCUUCGGGGGCGACCCUGCCGUUUCGACGGCGCGCGCCCCCGGAGGCCAUCAAACACUGCGUCAAUUUGCGUCGGAGUCUUGAUUAAAAUCAAAACAAAACUUUCAACAACGGAUCUCUUGGUUCUGGCAUCGAUGAAGAACGCAGC